GAUGAAGAACGUAGCGAAAUGCGAUACUUGGUGUGAAUUGCAGAAUCCCGUGAACCAUCGAGUCUUUGAACGCAAGUUGCGCCUCAAGCCAUUAGGUUGAGGGCACGUCUGCCUGGGCGUCACAUAUCGUUGCCUGAUGCCAGUUUCCUCGUGAUGGGUGACUGUGCAGGGCGAAUGAUGGCUUCCCGUGAGCAUUGUUGCCUCAUGGUUGGUUGAAAAUUGAGUCCUUGGUAGCGAGCGCCGUGAUAGAUGGUGGUUGAGUGACGAACGAGACCCAAUCAUGUGAGACCCCUACCGAAUUUGGCCUUCAUGACCCACAUGCGUCUUUGGAACGCUCAUGACGAGACCUCAGGUCAGGCGGGGCUACCCGCUGAGUUUAAGCAUAUCAAUAAGCGGAGGA
Molecule: unclassified non-coding RNA, 400 nt
Filed under: soil metagenome
Description: partial contains 5.8S ribosomal RNA, internal transcribed spacer 2, and large subunit ribosomal RNA
Rfam family: 5.8S ribosomal RNA (bases 1-122)
Source: RNAcentral